Long non-coding RNA from Myotis davidii, 2787 nucleotides. RefSeq lists it as uncharacterized. The record is from RefSeq and is a predicted model, not a curated record. NCBI's taxonomy places the organism in Eukaryota, Metazoa, Chordata, Mammalia, Chiroptera, Vespertilionidae. The transcript has 3 exons.
AAAGAAAAAUCGGUUAAGAAGAGAAAAUUGGGGGUGGGAUGGGAGUGGGGAGGCGGUAAUUCAGACCCACGAGGAGACUGGCAUCUAAACAAGCAGAAAUUCUGGCUCUGGUGCCAGCACUCUUUGAUGAGGAAUGUGAAGUAAAACAUCAGGUGUUCGAUGUAGCACCAUCCACGAAUGUGGGUGGGGGACAAGGGCCAGUUCCAGCCAGAUGUUGAUUUGCUUGUCCUUCCCACAACUGGCUCAUUUGCUAAGAACUAUAAAUUUCUUUCAAAAAAUUUUAAAAAUGUUUUUCAGUUACCGAUAACACCCAAUAUUAGUUUCAGGUACACAGCAUGGUGAACACGAUGAAAUUCCUACUUGGGGGAAGGAUGUGUGGUGAGAAGACAUUUACAGAAGAGAAAGGGGAUGGAGAGAUGGGAGGUUCUCUUGAGUUUCCUGCUUCAUGAGGGUCCUGUUUUUAAGGUCCUGACGAUAAGAUCCCAAAGAUCAAAUGCUGAACCUUGCUAUAGGGAAAAUGUGGCCAUAAGAAGCCCUCUCUCUAGCAAACCAAGACCUCAGACCAAUCAGUCCCUCAGACAUUUCCAAGGGAAGCAAGAACACAGCCAACAUAACUGGGCUGCGGGAGAGAGAGAGAGAGCUGUCAGGUCUCAGCUAUCAUCCCAGGCAGCAAAAGUGACUUGCUCCUCAUUCCUGCCCAUUCGUGCUGCAAAUGAUGCUGGAUCCCAGCCAUUUAGGAUGUGGGCGUCACACCAUUGGCCUUCGAGGUACUGAAGGAAAGCACCCAGCAAAAUACAUGGCAGACCAGCAGCUCUUCCUUCAGUUCCUUCUUCCAGACGGAAAUGUAUUUGUAUAACUGGGGGACUGAGUCAUUUCAUGAGUAUUUUCCUUUCUUUUGGAUUCUUUUUCUUUGGAUGCGUGUCUAACUGAAAUGGAGAGCCUCAAGCCAGCUCAGAUUUCGAAUGCUGACCUCUAGUCAGGAAAAGGUCUUUGUGAACUAUGAAAGGCCCUAGGCUCAGCAGAGGAGUGUGACUGAGAAUGCUCUAAUAUGGCAGAACCUCCUUGUUGGGGAUCCCUGAUGUUUCAAGUGUACCUGGUUUCAAAACAGUUGAUACUGCCAAUAAAAAAAGAAACUAAGUGGGGUUCUGCCUCCUGUACCACUUACGCUGACAGUAGAGGAACCUAGUCAAGCAAAAUUGAGCUUUGUCAGCAGAUUAUUAUUCUAACUUAAUCAAUUGCUACAUUCCUAAGCUUCAUCCAUGUUCUAUUUAGCCUUUGGUACACCCAUGCUGUGUCAUGUUCAUCUUGGGGAACUAGCUCAGUUUAUCCAUUCCAAUGCUGAUGGGCUUUUGGGGUAGUUUUUCAGUUCUGCUACUCUGAACUGUGCUACUAGAAACAUUUGAAUGUGUCUCCUGUUCAUAUAUGCAAGAGUUCCUCUAUAGCUUGUACCUAGGAGUGGAAUUGCUGGGUCACAGAGUAUAUGCACAAUCAACUGCGAGAUAAUGCCAAAUUGUUUUCCAAAAACGGUUAUACCAAUAUACACUCCCACCAGCAAUGUAUGUAUGUUCUUGUUGAUCCAUCUUUUCCUCCCCAACACUUGUGUUCAGACUUAAUUUUUGCCAGUCUCAUAGUGGGUUUGAUUUACAUUUCCCUGAUUGCUAAUGAAGUUGAACAUCUUUUCAUAUAUUUAUUGGCCAUGUGGCUUUUCUCCAAGGUGAAAGUGCUUCUUUCUGUCUCUUGUCCAUUUUUCUACUGAGUUGUUUUAAUGUAGGGUUUCCCCAAAGUUUACACGUCCAAUUAAGUUAGCAAAUGCAGACAUUCUCUCAUGGAGAAUCACCAGGCAUACCUACAUAUUCAAGGCUCUGAGAAGUCCUGUAGUAAGGAAACUUGUUCAACUUUGUUCAGCUUAACACUUCCCAAAGGUACUUGUCCACAGAACCCUUUUGUGCCUAACAUCUGUUAAAUGUUGGAAAAGAUAAUUUGGGAAAGGCUACUUUAAGUAAAACAUAUGGUGUAACACAAAGACCAUAGGCUUAGGGGCGAGCCAGAGGCAGAACUUGAACUCAGGUCUAUCACAUGUUCUGUGACCCUGGGUAAGUCACUCUACUCUCCUGGGAUCUCCGCUGUCUCAUCAGUGGAGUAAUUCCCACUUCAUAGUGUUGUUGUGACAAUGUAAUGAGAUACAAUAUGUAAAGAGCCUAGCACCGCCGGGUUUUCAGUAAAUGUGAAUUCUGUUCUUCUCCUCCCUCUUUGGUGUCUGCUUUUUGGGCACUCUCCUGCUCAACAAAUAAGGUGGAACAGAGAAAACAGAAUCCUAAGCAGAGCCUGAUCAACAGUUAAGGUAGGAGAUUUGAGGUCCUGCCUUACAAUCUAGACAGAGAUCAAUGUCAUCUCUGUGGUCUACCAUCUCUUAUUCAUAGACUAAGUGUGGAAAAUGUAAUACCACCGGCCACUAAAAGAUCAGGAAAUUAAGGCUCAGAGAGGCUCAACACCCAGAGUCACACAGCCAAGUGGUAAAGGACUGAUGAGGUCUGUUCCAAUGCCUGUGCCCCAGAAACCUGUCAAGAGAUGCCGAGGAGACCUGUCAAGACUGUGUGUGCAAAGGUAUAAUGAUGACUGAGAAGGCACCAACUGAUUGGACAAUGCUGAUGACCAGGUGACAAAUGGUAUAGCAAGGAGGAUUCGUUUACUCAUUCCUCCCCCCCACCUCCUAUUUUUGACCCUGGUUUUCUAAACUUCCUCCAUGUCGGAGGUUACAACUAUAAAUACGGCAUUUGAGCCACAAAA